GUCUAGGUUUGGAAAUAUCUAUCAUGCAGUGACAUGCUAACCAGAUGGCUCAGUAGAGCAAAUAUCAACAGGGGAGCUUUGGAGAUUGACACCAACAUCCAUGAUUUACACAUGUUGUAAGAAUGGCCUGACCAGAAUUAUGGGCAAAACAACAACAACAACAAAAACUCCUUGAGCCCUGAGUAUGGGGAGUUUCUGCUUUUGUAGCCUAGUAUCCAUAGACUCCAUGUAUAAUCAAACAACAGCCAAUGUCCCAUGGAAAACAUGGGCUAAGUGCAAAGGUUGUUCUGUGCAACUCCUAAGGCUCAGCCAGAUUCUCCUCUCUCAGGAGUGUUCCUCUGUAUGUGUCAAGUCAGAGCUGUGUCCACAUGCAAACUUCGAAGAUAUGAUAGAGGACAAUACGUCAGCUGACCAGCCUACCAGGUGUUUUAUGCAGUUCAACAUACAAGGUGACAUCAAGGUUUCAGGACAUCCAGAACAAUCAGGAUCAAGUUACAGGUUUGGGCCACUGCAAUGACUUGACCUUUACCUUUCCCAUCCUUGGCACCUUUAAUGAUACCUGGGAGAGCCAGGAGCUGGAUCUUGCCACCUUUGUGUCUGAUGACACCAGGCACAGUGGUCAGAGUAGUGAAUUCAUAGGCUGCCACCUCAGAAUAUACCCCUGCCAGGUUACUAAGCAGUGUCGACUUCGCCACAGAUGAAAAACCAACAAAUCCAGUUCUAGCAUCACCUGUCUUGGCCACAUCAAAACCUUCUCCUGGACCUCCACCACCAGCACCCUUUGGAGUAAUGAGUUCUCGACGAAGCUUAGCAAGACGAGCUUUAAGUAGCCCUAGGUGGUGUGCUGUGGCCUUGUUCUUUUGAGUCUGAGUCAUCUCGGCUUCUGUCUCCACGAUCUUAGCUAAGGUGCUGCCCAUCGUGGCGAGUACAUGUGGCCUCCACACUGUCACCCUUCACACCAACGUUCUUAAUAUAUACUUUUGUAUUGUGUUCUUUCUUUUUUUUUUUUUUUUUUUUUUUGCGGUGAUUCUUUUGGCCUUUCAACUGCUGAAUCACUGUCCCAGGAUAUGGAGAUUUCUUUUCAGACUUAACAAUAAUUCAGAAAUGACAAUUUUGGUAUUAAAUUGUCAUAAAAACAAUAAAAGGUUUUGAAAUAAUAAGUAAAUAUAUUAUUUUCAUAGGAUGUGGUCAUUAUCUGAACAGAAAUCUGAUUCCCAUAUUCCAAUAGUGAUUGUAGAUAAAAUAUAUGUUUUGCCCAUAUUCCACUUAAAAAUGUUCUAAAAAUGUUUGUGAGCUAAUAAUGUGCAUGUCAGUUACAUGUCAUGAUGUGAUAUGAUGGGAAAGUAAAGGAAUGUUUGAAUCAACAGCACAAAAUAUCUUUUUUUUUUUUUUUGGUUAAAGAA
Molecule: long non-coding RNA, 1403 nt
Filed under: Macaca mulatta (Rhesus monkey)
Lineage: Eukaryota; Metazoa; Chordata; Mammalia; Primates; Cercopithecidae
Description: lncRNA (ENSMMUG00000044302.2)
Source: RNAcentral